UGGGAUUCAGGAUGUCAUGGUAUAUAAACAUUUAAGUUUGAAUAGAAUACGACUAGAUCUUCUGCUUGAGUCGUGUGUGUGGGAUCGUCGUCUUCAUUCGUUGCUAUCUUCUUAUUAUAUGGAUGGUGAUUCCAAAGCCAUUAACCCAAAGCAAUCAACACUGCCAGAUAUUGAACCUAUUAGCCAGAAGGAGAAACUAGGAAAGUACAGUGGUGAAAGAGAUGCUAA
This 228-nucleotide unclassified non-coding RNA is filed under the name Hevea brasiliensis (rubber tree). The record is from RNAcentral. Lineage: Eukaryota; Viridiplantae; Streptophyta; Magnoliopsida; Malpighiales; Euphorbiaceae.